CAGCACCUCAAGUGGUCAGGAUGAUUAUUGGGCCUAAAGCAUCCGUAGCCGGCGCUGUAAGUUUUCGGUUAAAUCUGUACGCUCAACGUACAGGCUGCCGGGAAUACUGCAGCGCUAGGGAGUGGGAGAGGUAGACGGUACUCGGUAGGAAGGGGUAAAAUCCUUUGAUCUAUUGAUGACCACCUGUGGCGAAGGCAGUCUACCAGAACACGUCCGACGGUGAGGGAUGAAAGCUGGGGGAGCAAACCGGAUUAGAGACCCGAGUAGUCC
RNAcentral lists this ribosomal RNA (270 nucleotides) under uncultured archaeon. Its description in RNAcentral is "partial 16S ribosomal RNA". It matches the Rfam family "Archaeal small subunit ribosomal RNA", at positions 477 to 747 of the family's 1478-position model. The record is from RNAcentral.